This 253-nucleotide ribosomal RNA is filed under the name uncultured archaeon. RNAcentral's name for it is "partial 16S ribosomal RNA". It matches the Rfam family "Archaeal small subunit ribosomal RNA", at positions 474 to 727 of the family's 1478-position model. The record is from RNAcentral.
AACCAGCACCUCAAGUGGUCAGGAUGAUUAUUGGGCCUAAAGCAUCCGUAGCCGGCUCUGUUAGUUUUCGGUUAAAUCUAUGCGCUCAACGCAUGGGCUGCCGAAAAUACUGCAGAGCUAGGGAGUGGGUGAGGUAGACGGUACUCGGUAGGAAGGGGUAAAAUCCUUUGAUCUAUUGAUGACCACCUGUGGCGAAGGCGGCUACCUGGUCCGGAUCUGACGCUGAGGCGCGAAAGCGUGGGGAGCGAACAGG